RNAcentral lists this ribosomal RNA (583 nucleotides) under uncultured Colwellia sp. RNAcentral describes it as "bacterial SSU rRNA". It matches the Rfam family "Bacterial small subunit ribosomal RNA", at positions 70 to 643 of the family's 1533-position model. The record is from RNAcentral. Lineage: Bacteria; Pseudomonadati; Pseudomonadota; Gammaproteobacteria; Alteromonadales; Colwelliaceae.
CAUUUCUAGCUUGCUAGAAGAUGACGAGCGGCGGACGGGUGACGUAAUGCUUGGGAAUAUGCCAUAUGGUGGGGGACAACAGUUGGAAACGACUGCUAAUACCGCAUAACGUCUACGGACCAAAGGAGGGGACUUUUCGGAGCCUUUCGCCAUUUGAUUAGCCCAAGUGAGAUUAGCUAGUUGGUGAGGUAAUGGCUCACCAAGGCGACGACCUCUAGCUGGUUUGAGAGGAUGAUCAGCCACACUGGGACUGAGACACGGCCCAGACUCCUACGGGAGGCAGCAGUGGGGAAUAUUGCACAAUGGGCGAAAGCCUGAUGCAGCCAUGCCGCGUGUGUGAAGAAGGCCUUCGGGUUGUAAAGCACUUUCAGUUGUGAGGAAAGGGACGUAGUUAAUAACUGCAUUCUGUGACGUUAACAACAGAAGAAGCACCGGCUAACUUCGUGCCAGCAGCCGCGGUAAUACGAGGGGUGCAAGCGUUAAUCGGAAUUACUGGGCGUAAAGCGUUCGUAGGCGGUCUAUUAAGCAAGAUGUGAAAGCCCAGGGGCUCAACCUUGGAACUGCAUUUUGAACUGGUAGACUA